GAUAUAUGUGGUAUGUGUGUGUUGGAACCAAUGAGUGACUAAGCUGUUCACACAGGGUUAUGCUCAUGGCUGAAGCUGCUGUCAGAGUCCCCAGACCUCAUACCCCCAGGCCUGACUCUUGUAACAAAGACCACAUAGUUCAGAGAAACACUGACCUUCAAAGCAGCUGAAGCUCUCAGGGACAGUAUGGCUGGGUAAUCGCAGCUCCCCCACUCUGGGUAAGAUGGCUCUGAGGUGUACCUGUGUGCUUUCUGUCUUCUGGAGCUCCCAUCAUGUGUGAACCCUGGCUGCCUCUGUGGCAACCUCCUUCCUCAGCUGCCUCUCUCUCCUGCCUUCUCAACCCAUCUGACUUCCUCACUGUCUUACUGGUGUCCAGCUCUCUCCCAACGAGACACCUGGCAAUUGAAACCUGUGUUUGAAUAGCACCCAAAAAAUUUAUUUGAACUUGGCCUCUCACAUCAGGGUCUGCUUUUGCAGAACACUUAUUCGGUGACCAUCCAGCAAUCCUCACAGAUAUACCCUUUCCAUGAGGUUGAGAGAGGCUGGCUUGUGUAGCCAAGAUCACACAGCUGGAGAAUGAAAAACCCCAGGUUUUUGGAGUUUCUGAUCCAAAGUCACAUGCUCACAUCUUUAGUAAAAGAUUAUCAAGGGCCAGGAAAUGUAAAUGUAUGUUUACAAACAAGUAGUUCCCUGACGAAUGUGGCAAAGGGACCAAACUGUCUUUAUUCUGUCACAAAAUAAUAAUGACAGACAGAAAGGAGCUCCCUGCUGGGUGUUGCUUGGUUUAACUUAUUUAAUAUUCAUGAAACCUUGAUAUGCCCUUCGAUCUGUACGCGAGAAAACAUCAAAAUGAGUAGAAGUGAUAAGAACCGCACAAUCUCUGCGUUAGCCUUUGUUCAGAAACCACAUCUACGAGUCCCACCACAUGCUAGGCAUGGCUUGAGACGGUGCUCUCAAAAUUUAAAUGAAAAUAAUACAGAAUAGCGAAUAUUAUAAAGUGACAUUCAUACUUCAUAUAAAGGAAGAUUUUACUAGGAACAGCUAAGUGAGAGGGAUAUGGUAAUCUGACACAAUUACAUUUGAGUUUAGUAAGAUUUCUCCAAAAUACAGGGAUGAUGAAAAUAUAAUAAUGCAAAUGGGAGAAGAGCUUUUCUUUCGUCCUUACUGCCCAGUCCUGAGUAAACAUACAAAAGUGUAGAGAUACAGGGCUGGCUUAGAGAGGUGCAGGCUCCUCUUGAGUCAAAUGAGGCAAAGUCUGAGGCAUGAGACUUGGCAUACAGAAUAGCUGCAAGCACACUUCUGCUGACAUGUUUCCAACGAUCUGCUGGAAUUUGUUACUCAAGAUAAGGAAGUGGCUCUCUGGGCCAGUGAACUGUGCUCCACUGUUCUUCAGAUAAAGGUGAAUUGCUUGUUGCUACAUAAUACUUUAAAUACAGUAGACACAUUGUUUCAUAGGGAGAGACAUCUCCUGAUGCCUUGUGUAGUAUUGCGGUUUGAAGAUUGUGAGACAGCUUGCAUAAGCUCAUGCAUAAAAGUUCUGCAAAAAUAAAUUUUGACAUGCAGUCGCUUCUACUCUGCAUCCCCUGGGUCUUGGUUUCGGUGAGACCUUACCCAGGGACCCCAAUGCACUAGACAUUGACACAAAAGCUUAUAUUAAUUGCUGAAUGGGCUGCCUAUAGCUCAGGCUUAUUACUAACUAGCUCUUACAAGCUAAAGUAACCAAUUCCUAUUCAUCUAUAUCUUGGCACCUGGCUGGAGGCUUUACCUGUCCUCUAGCAUCUUGCUUCCCCAGCAGCUGCUUGCAUCUCUCUCUGACUCCUCCCUUCUUCUCUGUAUUUUCAGUUUGGCUUAUCCUCCUAGUCUUAUUCUGCCUCGCUAUAGGCCAAAUCAGCCUUUUCAUUAACCAAUGAGAGUCAAACAUGUUCACAGCAUACAGAAGGAUUAUCCCACAGCAUAAUAACAUAGUGAAAUGAGAUGAUGACAAUGGCAAUAAAAUAAAAUCAAGGGUUCUGUAGAGAUAUGGAUUGUUAAGUCGUGUUUUGAUAUGAGGUGUGCUUAGGGUUCAUCAGAGUUACUAGAGGCAUUAGGUAUUCUUCCCCCAGUUGGUGUCUGGUGUCUGCUUGCUUCAGAACUCCGGUUAGAAAAGUUCUAUGUGAUGGAGUCUAGGGUGGGGAAAGAGGUUCAUUGAAUGAGGCUUUGUGUCUUAGGCCUAUGAGAUGGGAAUUGUGAGAGGGGUAUAGGUUCCAGACUAUAAGAAAAGGAAUUUCUUAUGACCAGGAGAUUGUAAUGACUGCUGUCUUGGUUGGAGAGAUGGCUCAGAAGUUGAGAGCGUUUGCUGCUCUUGCAGAGAACUGGGAUACUAUUCCAAGCAUCUGCAUGGUGGCUCACAGCCAUCUGUAACUCCAAUUCCAGGAGAUUGGACGCCCUUUCUGGCCUCCCUGGGCACUGCAGGCAUGUGAACUGACAUACAUUCAGGAAAGAUAUCCAUUCAUAUAAAAAGAAGCAAACAAAAACACUGACUUGUGCCAAAUCAGUAUACAGUCAUCAUAUUUUGCCUUUUCUAUAAGCUGUAUAUUACAAAAGCCUUCAUUUUCACUUGUUUCUUUAAUUUGUUACCUUAUUUCCAGCUCUGUCCUCCCCUUCUUGACCUUGUCUGCAAAGGUCACCUCUCAGGCUCAUCCCCACAUGCCUUCCCUCCUCCCCAGCUCCAGUCUACAGUCAAACCAACCUCAUCUAUGUCCUUCUAGCUGGGCUGUUGAUCUCACCAAUAAGACCUGGGAAAUCAAUAAUUGAACAUAUUCGAAGAGAAAGCUGCCCACUAAGACACUGGGCUGGCUGUAGUUGGGACUUGACCUCUGCCUGGUGUGCAGCUGGUGAACAGGCAUUCUGGAACCUCUAAGUUCUGCACCAAGAAACCCUGUAGGUCUUCUUCCUUCAUACCAACGUUCAGAGGAGCUCCUAAGAAGUUCAUGGGACAGGCCUGGCCCUGGUCUUCUGGCACCUGAAGUCCAAAGUUAAUGAUUAUACUAGAUAUGCUCUUGAAAGGGCAGGGACAACUGUAAAUAUGGGAUUUACAGAGCCACUUUUGCACUUCCAUAGUCUUCCCCACAAAUACAUGGGAGGGUCUGGUUCCUAGGCUGUGUGUACCUGACUUGGUUCCUCUCUGCAACUGGAUUAGGAUCCAGGAACAACGAGGCCACCGAGGACAGAGAGGAGCUGUGGGAAAGACUCUGCCCCCAAAGAAGGUGGGGAUUCAUUUACUGAAACAUGGACCAACACAUCAGUGUCUACAGCACCGAUGAAAGUGACUCUCCCUCCCCAAGAACCACUAACUAACAGUCCCUCAAGGAAGAGUGGUGCCUCACGUGUAUCUCCUCAUCCAUGAUGAACUUUCGAGUAAUUUAGACUUCUGUCAGUUUUGUGGAGACAACCACAGCUAUAGUAAGUUCGUGAGUGUAAUGCCUGUGUCAUGCUCAUAGGGGAUCUCUUUUCAGCACACUACCUCCUCUUUUGCCAUUUACAUUCUUCCCAGCCCCCUUCUGCAAUGUCCCCCAAUCCUUGGAAUGGGCCAAAUAUGUUCAUAGAUACCCCAUUUAAGGCCACGCACUCCACCGUAACUCCUGCUUGGUACUUGGACCAUUGGCUAGCUCCUGUGUUAACUGCCAUCCACAGUGGUAGGGAGCUACUUUGAUGGCUUCUGAGCAUUUAGAGUGCAGUCUGGCAAAUGACAACUAAGUAAAAGAACAGCAGCGAGUUUCCUCCUGGGACCUAUAGCUGCCCCAGGCAUGGGCUUGCCUAGGCCUACAGACCCGACGUGGACUUUAUGCUCCAAUCCAAUGACAGAGCAGCUGGUUACACCCACAGCUAUGCUGCUGUGCAUUAGAGGUUCGUCUUGCCUGGAAGGCCCUUGUUGUUGCUUGCAGGGUUCUUGGUUGCAUAUGACUUUAUCUGUUUUCUUUUCCCAGCAGUCUACACAGCACCUUCUUGCACAAUGAAGGCUAACCAGUGGUGAGGCAGAGUCUAGCUCUGUUCCAGCUUAAUAUCUCUAUGCCUGUGACCAAAGUGUAUGUUGUCUUCAGUAGUAGAGUCUUGCCAUCAAGUCACUGUGGGUAACUAAGAGCAAUAGAACCAUUCUGAAUUGUUUUAGGGGUCUUCAGCAUCUCCAUGGCUAACAAAUUUUGGAGGAAGCCUACCCCCGACUAUUUUAAUUUAAUAAACUCUGGCUUCUGAAAGAAAAA
Molecule: long non-coding RNA, 4238 nt
Organism: Mesocricetus auratus (golden hamster)
Lineage: Eukaryota; Metazoa; Chordata; Mammalia; Rodentia; Cricetidae
Exons: 3
Source: RefSeq, a predicted model, not a curated record